Molecule: transfer RNA, 75 nt
Filed under: Acidobacteriota bacterium
Lineage: Bacteria; Pseudomonadati; Acidobacteriota
Also listed under: 1 other name
Description: Acidobacteria bacterium tRNA-Gln
Rfam family: tRNA
About the family: Transfer RNA (tRNA) molecules are approximately 80 nucleotides in length. Their secondary structure includes four short double-helical elements and three loops (D, anti-codon, and T loops).
Source: RNAcentral
UGCGGGAUAGCCAAGCGGAAAGGCACUCGGCUCUGACCCGAGAGAACGAAGGUUCAAAUCCUUCUCCCGCAGCCA